AGACCGCCACGGUGACUUGCAAGCAACUCACUGCACUUAGGCACUGGACUACUUGAAUUUUUAAUUCAGUGACGGAAGGCUGCUGGGUGUAGUCAAGUACUUGACUUGUCGGUGCGUGUGUCAAGAUGGGAUUGACCACUCCAGUUUAGGAGCUGUGUACAGUCAUAUUUCAAUUUAGCAAAACCUUGGCCAGGGUAGUCCUUGUGAGGAGUCACAGGACUGUUUGAGUUG
This 231-nucleotide long non-coding RNA is filed under the name Elaeis guineensis (African oil palm). RNAcentral's name for it is "long non-coding RNA (EGUI_LNC082908)". The record is from RNAcentral. Lineage: Eukaryota; Viridiplantae; Streptophyta; Magnoliopsida; Arecales; Arecaceae.